Molecule: ribosomal RNA, 1543 nt
Filed under: Acinetobacter pittii
Lineage: Bacteria; Pseudomonadati; Pseudomonadota; Gammaproteobacteria; Moraxellales; Moraxellaceae
Description: bacterial LSU rRNA
Rfam family: Bacterial large subunit ribosomal RNA
Source: RNAcentral
GGGAAAUUGGUUAAUAUUCCAAUACUUCUGUGUAAUGCGAUGAGAGGACGGAGAAGGUUAAGUCAGCCUGGCGUUGGUUGUCCAGGUGGAAGGAUGUAGGUAUGUAUCUUAGGCAAAUCCGGGGUACUCUAUACUGAGAUCCGAUAGCAAGCUGUACUUGUACAGUGAAGUGGCUGAUACCAUGCUUCCAGGAAAAGUCUCUAAGCUUCAGUUACACAGGAAUCGUACCCGAAACCGACACAGGUGGUCAGGUCGAGUAGACCAAGGCGCUUGAGAGAACUCUGCUGAAGGAACUAGGCAAAAUGGUACCGUAACUUCGGGAGAAGGUACGCUGUUGUUGGUGAUGGAACUUGCUUCCUGAGCUGACGACAGCCGCAGAAACCAGGCCGCUGCAACUGUUUAUUAAAAACAUAGCACUCUGCAAACACGAAAGUGGACGUAUAGGGUGUGAUGCCUGCCCGGUGCUGGAAGGUUAAUUGAUGGGGUUAGCGUAAGCGAAGCUCUUGAUCGAAGCCCCAGUAAACGGCGGCCGUAACUAUAACGGUCCUAAGGUAGCGAAAUUCCUUGUCGGGUAAGUUCCGACCUGCACGAAUGGCAUAAUGAUGGCGGCGCUGUCUCCAGCAGAGGCUCAGUGAAAUCGAAAUCGCUGUGAAGAUGCAGUGUACCCGCGGCUAGACGGAAAGACCCCGUGAACCUUUACUGCAGCUUGACACUGAACUUUGACCUUACUUGUGUAGGAUAGGUGGGAGGCUUUGAAGUUGGAACGCUAGUUCCAAUGGAGCCGUCCUUGAAAUACCACCCUGGUAAUGUUGAGGUUCUAACUCUGUCCCGUUAUCCGGGACGAGGACCGUGUCUGGUGGGUAGUUUGACUGGGGCGGUCUCCUCCUAAAGAGUAACGGAGGAGUACGAAGGUGCGCUCAGCGUGGUCGGAAAUCACGCGUAGAGUAUAAAGGCAAAAGCGCGCUUAACUGCGAGACCCACAAGUCGAGCAGGUACGAAAGUAGGUCUUAGUGAUCCGGUGGUUCUGUAUGGAAGGGCCAUCGCUCAACGGAUAAAAGGUACUCUGGGGAUAACAGGCUGAUACCGCCCAAGAGUUCAUAUCGACGGCGGUGUUUGGCACCUCGAUGUCGGCUCAUCUCAUCCUGGGGCUGAAGCAGGUCCCAAGGGUAUGGCUGUUCGCCAUUUAAAGAGGUACGCGAGCUGGGUUUAGAACGUCGUGAGACAGUUCGGUCCCUAUCUACCGUGGGCGCUGGAAAUUUGAGAGGAUCUGCUCCUAGUACGAGAGGACCAGAGUGGACGAACCUCUGGUGUACCGGUUGUGACGCCAGUCGCAUCGCCGGGUAGCUAUGUUCGGAAGGGAUAACCGCUGAAAGCAUCUAAGCGGGAAGCCUACCUCAAGAUAAGAUUUCCCUAGGAAUUUAUUCCUCUAAAGAGCCGUUCGAGACUAGGACGUUGAUAGGUUGGAUGUGGAAGCAUAGUGAUAUGUGAAGCUGACCAAUACUAAUUGCUCGUGAGGCUUGACUAUACAACACCCAAGCAGUUG